Molecule: ribosomal RNA, 20 nt
Filed under: Laelaps giganteus
Lineage: Eukaryota; Metazoa; Arthropoda; Arachnida; Mesostigmata; Laelapidae
Description: partial 28S ribosomal RNA
Source: RNAcentral
UUUAAGCAUAUUACUUAGGA